CCUUUACACUGCACGCCAGUGCGAUACGGGGACUCCAGGUGCGAGGGCAUAUACUCCUCGCUUUUGUACACCGUAAGGUGGUGUACGAAUAAGUGCUGGGCAAGACCGGUGCCAGCCGCCGCGGUAAUACCGGCAGCACAAGUGAUGACCGCUAUUAUUGGGCCUAAAGCGUCCGUAGCUGGCCAGGCAAGUCCGUCGGGAAAUCUCCCCGCCCAACGGGGAGGCGUCCGGUGGAAACUGCCUGGCUUGGGACCGGAAGAUCCAGAGGGUACGUCCGGGGUAGGAGUGAAAUCCCGUAAUCCUGGACGGACCACCGGUGGCGAAAGCGCUCUGGAAAGACGGAUCCGACGGUCAGGGACGAAAGCUCGGGUCACGAACCGGAUUAGAUACCCGCGUAGUCC
Molecule: ribosomal RNA, 401 nt
Filed under: uncultured Natronococcus sp.
Lineage: Archaea; Methanobacteriati; Methanobacteriota; Halobacteria; Halobacteriales; Natrialbaceae
Description: bacterial SSU rRNA
Rfam family: Archaeal small subunit ribosomal RNA
Source: RNAcentral